GACGAACGCUGGCGGCGUGCUUAACACAUGCAAGUCGAACGGAAAGGCCCUGCUUUUGUGGGGUGCUCGAGUGGCGAACGGGUGAGUAACACGUGAGUAACCUGCCCUUGACUUUGGGAUAACUUCAGGAAACUGGGGCUAAUACCGGAUAGGAGCUCCUGCUGCAUGGUGGGGGUUGGAAAGUUUCGGCGGUUGGGGAUGGACUCGCGGCUUAUCAGCUUGUUGGUGGGGUAGUGGCUUACCAAGGCUUUGACGGGUAGCCGGCCUGAGAGGGUGACCGGCGACAUUGGGACUGAGAUAGGGCCCAGACUCCUACGGGAGGCAGCGGUGGGGAAUAUUGCACAAUGGGCGGAAGCCUGAUGCAGCAACGCCGCGUGCGGGAUGACGGCCUUCGGGUUGUAAACCGCUUUCGCCUGUGACGAAGCGUGAGUGACGGUAAUGGGUAAAGAAGCACCGGCUAACUACGUG
RNAcentral lists this ribosomal RNA (468 nucleotides) under uncultured bacterium. RNAcentral describes it as "partial 16S ribosomal RNA". It matches the Rfam family "Bacterial small subunit ribosomal RNA", at positions 28 to 507 of the family's 1533-position model. The record is from RNAcentral.